ACUAUAUAAGUAUACCAAAUAAAUUUUAGUAUAGUUAAAUAACCGAAUAAUAACAUAUACAAAAAAUUCAAAAUAUAAACUAAAAAAUAGAACGUUUAAAAAAUAUUUGAACAAAUUAAUAUAUCUAUAAAUAUAAAACUCAUUAAUAAAUUAACAAAAAACAAAGAAAUAGUAACAAUAAAAAUCCAUAUAAAAAAUAGAGCAAAAUGAACUUACACAUAAUAAACAUAACCAGAAAAAAAAAUCAAUGAAAAUAAAUAUCCAUAUGAAAAACAUAACCAUAUAAAAAAAAGCAUGAAAAUAAAUUUAUAAUAAAUAUAUCGAUUUUUAAAUAAAAAAUUUUUAUUUAAAUAAUAAUCAACUAUAAUUCAUCGUUUGUGAGUGUUUAUGAAUGGACGUGUUUCAACCAGUGUAUACAACACAAAUCAAACGGAGUAAAACUACUAACAGUGAGUCUUUAACUCAGUAUAAUAGAAAAUAAUUAAGAAAAAGUUUAAUUAAAGUUAAAUAAUAAAAAAAAAUUAAAAUUAAGACGACUCUGUUAUUGAAUGGAAGAAAGGUAACGUCAGUUUGUUCUUCGGAGAUUCCGAUAUGAUUAAAAGACACUCGGAUAGUUACCACAGCCAAUCACAACUUAAUAAUUUAAAAUUUUUCCAAAAGCGACUUGUCGGAAUCGUACUCGUGUAUUAUUUUGACUGACCCACAUUUGGAAGUAAUUCAUGAGGUUCACGUUGUCGAAAAAUCCAUGGACCGCAAAGACGAUGACAAGAGGAUCUGGGUUAUUCCUGGAAAAAGAGUCGAGGUCGACGAAAUUCAGAGUACUUCUUUUUGUUGCUAAACUAGAGAUCCAACAGUAAAAAUUAUUUGGUCUCACAAGGUAGCAGAAACGGAAAAUUUACUUGGAUUUAAAUUUUUAUCUGUGGACUGACUUGUAUUUCUGUACUGCAUAAUUACGUGAUGACCUAUACACCACCUUUUUGCCGUGGGUGUAUAGCGGCAAAGAGAAACCACAGAGAAAACCUUUUGCCAGUACAGCUUUCAUUUUUCGGAGCGGGUGAAGUUUCAGUGAUCGAUAAAAUUCCGUGGCUCUUCAGUCCACGCCUAGCGCACAGAGACGUCCGAUCAAGUUCAAUGCAUGGCUAAGCGGUCAUCCAGCCAAACAGCAACCGCACUCGGUGCUGUUUAACUUUGGUGAUCGCCCGAGCUACACAUGAACCGAUUGGCUGCCUCUGCCCCCUGUUAAAUAUUUAAAGUAUUUACAAGGAUCGAAAUUACAACAUGGCGAAGAAAUUAAAAAAAAAAAAAAUAUAAUAAAUAAAUAUAAAAUGUAAUUUAUGUAAGUAUAUUUAAAAAAAUAAAAUAACAUAUGUAAGUAUAUUUAAAAUACAAUAAAAUAACA
Long non-coding RNA from Microplitis mediator, 1399 nucleotides. RefSeq lists it as uncharacterized. NCBI's taxonomy places the organism in Eukaryota, Metazoa, Arthropoda, Insecta, Hymenoptera, Braconidae. The record is from RefSeq and is a predicted model, not a curated record. The transcript is spliced from 2 exons.